GGCUGAGUAGCUCAGUGGCAGAGUGAGUGCUUAGUAUGCAUGAGGCCCUGGGUUCGAACCCCAGCACCA
Molecule: transfer RNA, 69 nt
Filed under: Marmota monax (woodchuck)
Lineage: Eukaryota; Metazoa; Chordata; Mammalia; Rodentia; Sciuridae
Also listed under: 2 other names
Rfam family: tRNA
About the family: Transfer RNA (tRNA) molecules are approximately 80 nucleotides in length. Their secondary structure includes four short double-helical elements and three loops (D, anti-codon, and T loops). Further hydrogen bonds mediate the characteristic L-shaped molecular structure. tRNAs have two regions of fundamental functional importance: the anti-codon, which is responsible for specific mRNA codon recognition, and the 3' end, to which the tRNAs corresponding amino acid is attached (by aminoacyl-tRNA synthetases). tRNAs cope with the degeneracy of the genetic code in two manners: having more than one tRNA (with a specific anti-codon) for a particular amino acid; and 'wobble' base-pairing, i.e. permitting non-standard base-pairing at the 3rd anti-codon position.
Source: Rfam by way of RNAcentral